RNAcentral lists this ribosomal RNA (409 nucleotides) under uncultured bacterium. RNAcentral's name for it is "partial 16S ribosomal RNA". It matches the Rfam family "Bacterial small subunit ribosomal RNA", at positions 355 to 755 of the family's 1533-position model. The record is from RNAcentral.
UGGGGAAUAUUGGACAAUGGGCGCAAGCCUGAUCCAGCAAUGCCGCGUGUGUGAAGAAGGCCUUCGGUUGUAAAGCACUUUUAUCAGGAGCGAAAACGCUGUCGGCUAAUACCCGGCGGAACUGACGGUACCUGAGGAAUAAGCACCGGCUAACUUCGUGCCAGCAGCCGCGGUAAUACGAAGGGUGCAAGCGUUAAUCGGAAUUACUGGGCGUAAAGCGUGCGUAGCGGUUUCUUAAGUCUGCUGUGAAAUCCCCGGGCUCAACCUGGGAAUGGCAGUGGAUACUGGGAGGCUAGAGUGUGUGCAGAGGGUGGUGGAAUUCCCGGUGAUAGCGGUGAAAUGCGUAGAGAUCGGGAGGAACAUCAGUGGCGAAGGCGGCCACCUGGGACAACACUGACGCUGAGGCACG